AUUGAACGCUGGCGGCAUGGCUAAAACAUGCAGGUCGAGCGCGAAAGAGGAGCAAUCCUCAAGUAGAGCGGCGAAAGGGUGAGUAAUACGUUCCUACGUGCCUUGAGGUCGGGGAUAGCCAGGGGAAACUCUGGGUAGUACCCGAUGUGGUCGCAAGAUCAAAGGCUUGCCGCCUUAAGAGCGGGGAACGUCCUAUCAGGUAGUUGGUGAGGUAACGGCUCACCAAGCCAAUGACGGGUAGCGGGUGUGAGAGCAUGGCCCGCCACAUCGAAACUGAGACACUGUUCGGACUCCUACGGGAGGCUGCAGUAACGAAUCUUCCGCAAUGCGCGAAAGCGUGACGGAGCAAUGCCGCGUGCAGGAUGAAGCCCUUCGGGGUGUAAACUGCUGUCAGGGUUUAGAAAGCACGUGAUCAAACCCAAAGGAAGAGACGACUAAACUCUGUGCCAGCAGUCGCGGUAAUACAGAGGUCUCGAGCGUUAGUCGGAGUCUACG
This 495-nucleotide ribosomal RNA is filed under the name uncultured bacterium. RNAcentral describes it as "bacterial SSU rRNA". It matches the Rfam family "Bacterial small subunit ribosomal RNA", at positions 28 to 556 of the family's 1533-position model. The record is from RNAcentral.